AAAUUGACGGGGACCCGCACAAGCGUGGAGCAUGUGGUUUAAUUCGAAGCAACGCGAAGAACCUUUACCAGGUCUUGACAUCCCGAUGCUAUUUCUAGAGAUAGAAAGUUACUUCGGUACAUCGGUGACAGGUGGUGCAUGGUUGUCGUCAGCUCGUGUCGUGAGAUGUUGGGUUAAGUCCCGCAACGAGCGCAACCCCUAUUGUUAGUUGCCAUCAUUCAGUUGGGCACUCUAGCGAGACUGCCGGUAAUAAACCGGAGGAAGGUGGGGAUGACGUCAAAUCAUCAUGCCCCUUAUGACCUGGGCUACACACGUGCUACAAUGGUUGGUACAACGAGUUGCGAGUCGGUGACGGCGAGCUAAUCUCUUAAAGCCAAUCUCAGUUCGGAUUGUAGGCUGCAACUCGCCUACAUGAAGUCGGAAUCGCUAGUAAUCGCGGAUCAGCACGCCGCGGUGAAUACGUUCCCGGGCCUU
This 474-nucleotide ribosomal RNA is filed under the name uncultured Streptococcus sp. RNAcentral's name for it is "bacterial SSU rRNA". It matches the Rfam family "Bacterial small subunit ribosomal RNA", at positions 908 to 1382 of the family's 1533-position model. The record is from RNAcentral. Lineage: Bacteria; Bacillati; Bacillota; Bacilli; Lactobacillales; Streptococcaceae.